RNAcentral lists this ribosomal RNA (588 nucleotides) under Taxicera cf. perfoliata ZMUN 10008503. Its description in RNAcentral is "partial 16S ribosomal RNA". It matches the Rfam family "Bacterial large subunit ribosomal RNA", at positions 1923 to 2734 of the family's 2925-position model. The record is from RNAcentral. Lineage: Eukaryota; Metazoa; Arthropoda; Insecta; Coleoptera; Staphylinidae.
UUUAAUGGCCGCAGUAUUUUGACUGUGCAAAGGUAGCAUAAUCAUUAGUUUCUUAAUUAGAAACUGGAAUGAAAGGUUGAACGAAAAAAUAGCUGUCUCUUUAUAAAUUUUUUAGAAUUUUAUUUUUAAGUUAAAAAGCUUAAAUUAGUUUGAAAGACGAGAAGACCCUAUAGAGUUUUAUAUGAGAUUAAUUUUAUUUAAAGAGUUGAAUUAUUUUUUAUAAAGUUAAUUUUUUAUUUGAUUGGGGUGAUUGAAAAAUUUAAUAAACUUUUUUUAAUAAAAGUUCAUAAAUUAAUGUAUUUUUGAUCCAUAAAUUAUGAUUAUAAGAUUAAAUUACCUUAGGGAUAACAGCGUAAUUUUUUUUAAGAGUUCUUAUCGAUAAAAAAGUUUGCGACCUCGAUGUUGGAUUAAAAUAAAAGUUUGGUGUAGAAGCUUAACUAUUAGGUCUGUUCGACCUUUAAAAUUUUACAUGAUCUGAGUUUAAACCGGUGUGAGCCAGGUUGGUUUCUAUCUUUAAAAAAAUAAAAUAUUUUAGUACGAAAGGACCAGGUAUUUGUAAUAUUUAUUUGAUAUGAAUUUUAUUAAUAU